RNAcentral lists this signal recognition particle RNA (98 nucleotides) under Acholeplasma sp. RNAcentral's name for it is "signal recognition particle sRNA small type". It matches the Rfam family "Bacterial small signal recognition particle RNA". From Rfam's summary of the family: The signal recognition particle (SRP) is a universally conserved ribonucleoprotein involved in the co-translational targeting of proteins to membranes. Archaeal SRP consists of a 7S RNA and homologues of the eukaryotic SRP19 and SRP54 proteins. Lineage: Bacteria; Bacillati; Mycoplasmatota; Mollicutes; Acholeplasmatales; Acholeplasmataceae. The record is from RNAcentral.
AUAGUGUAUAUGCACAACAUUUAUGUUUGAACCAGGUCAGAGAAGGAAUUCAGCAGCCUUAAGAGCCUCUAAAUGUGUGUGCUUUUUUAUUAUAUUAU